RNAcentral lists this ribosomal RNA (324 nucleotides) under uncultured eukaryote. RNAcentral describes it as "partial 18S ribosomal RNA". It matches the Rfam family "Eukaryotic small subunit ribosomal RNA", at positions 1470 to 1796 of the family's 1831-position model. The record is from RNAcentral.
CCCUUAGAUGUUCUGGGCUGCACGCGCGCUACACUGAAGCUAUCAACACGUUUUCCCUCCCUGAGAAGGGCGGGUAACCUUUUGAAUCAGCUUCGUGGUAGGGAUCGGGGCUUGCAAUUGUUCCCCGUGAACCAGGAAUUCCUAGUAGACGCGAGUCAUAAGCUCGCAUCGAUUAAGUCCCUGCCCUUUGUACACACCGCCCGUCGCUACUACCGAUUGAACGUUUUAGUGAGGCAUUUGGACCGACGCAUCUCAGUUUAACCGCUGGUUUGAGUUGGAAAGACUUCCAAACUUGAGCGUUUAGAGGAAGUAAAAGUCGUAACA